Molecule: ribosomal RNA, 377 nt
Filed under: uncultured eukaryote
Lineage: Eukaryota
Description: partial 18S ribosomal RNA
Rfam family: Eukaryotic small subunit ribosomal RNA
Source: RNAcentral
CAAUAGCGUAUAUUUAAGUUGCUGCAGUUAAAAAGCUCGUAGUUGGAUUUCGGGUGGGAAUGGCCGGUCCGCCGUUUCGGUGUGCACUUGCUACUCCCACCUUGCUGCCGGGGACGUGCUCUUGAGUUCACGCUCGGGACACGGAGUCGGCGAGGUUACUUUGAGUAAAUUAGAGUGUUCAAAGCAGGCCUACGCUCUGAAUACAUUAGCAUGGAAUAACACGAUAGGACUCUGGCCUAUCUUGUUGGUCUGUAGGACCGGAGUAAUGAUUAAGAGGGACAGUCGGGGGCAUUCGUAUUUCAUUGUCAGAGGUGAAAUUCUUGGAUUUAUGAAAGACGAACUACUGCGAAAGCAUUUGCCAAGGAUGUUUUCAUUAA